CUUCAUGAGACGCCGUCGACAAGCUCCGACUGGACGGCGCGCCAACCCCACGCUCGUGGGUGGCUCGGAUGACGAAGCGGUCGCCGCCAACCAGUGUGCGACAAGAGCGCCUC
This is a non-coding RNA of Mycobacterium sp. 1274756.6, 113 nucleotides long. Lineage: Bacteria; Bacillati; Actinomycetota; Actinomycetes; Mycobacteriales; Mycobacteriaceae. The record is from Rfam.